GUGGGGAAUCUUGCGCAAUGGGCGAAAGCCUGACCCAGCAACGCCGCGUGAGGGAAGAAGGCCUUCGGGUUGUAAACCUCUGUCCUUGGUGACGAAACAAAUGACGGUAGCCAAGGAGGAAGCCCCGGCUAACUACGUGCCAGCAGCCGCGGUAAUACGUAGGGGGCGAGCGUUGUCCGGAAUUACUGGGCGUAAAGGGUGCGUAGGUGGCCUUUUAAGUUGGAUGUGAGAUACCCGGGCUUAACUUGGGGGGUGCAUCUAAUACUGGAGGGCUAGAGUGCAGGAGAGGGAAGCGGAAUUCCUAGUGUAGCGGUGAAAUGCGUAGAUAUUAGGAGGAACACCAGUGGCGAAGGCGGCUUUCUGGACUGUAACUGACACUGAGGCACGAAAGCGUGGGGAGCAAACAGGAUUAGAUACCCGAGUAGUCC
Molecule: ribosomal RNA, 428 nt
Filed under: uncultured bacterium
Lineage: Bacteria
Description: partial 16S ribosomal RNA
Rfam family: Bacterial small subunit ribosomal RNA
Source: RNAcentral